This 491-nucleotide ribosomal RNA is filed under the name uncultured bacterium. RNAcentral describes it as "partial 16S ribosomal RNA". It matches the Rfam family "Bacterial small subunit ribosomal RNA", at positions 29 to 507 of the family's 1533-position model. The record is from RNAcentral.
GUGAACGCUGGCGGUAGGCCUAACACAUGCAAGUCGAACGGCAGCACAGUAAGAGCUUGCUCUUACGGGUGGCGAGUGGCGGACGGGUGAGGAAUACAUCGGAAUCUACUUUUUCGUGGGGGAUAAUGUAGGGAAACUUACGCUAAUACCGCAUACGACCUACGGGUGAAAGCAGGGGAUCUUCGGACCUUGCGCGAUUGAAUGAGCCGAUGUCGGAUUAGCUAGUUGGAGGGGUAAAGGCCCACCAAGGCGACGGUCCGUAGCUGGUCUGAGAGGAUGAUCAGCCACACUGGAACUGAGACACGGUCCAGACUCCUACGGGAGGCAGCAGUGGGGAAUAUUGGACAAUGGGCGCAAGCCUGAUCCAGCCAUACCGCGUGGGUGAUGAAGGCCUUCGGGUUGUAAAGCCCUUUUGUUGGGAAAGAAAAGCAGCAGGUUAAUACCCCGCUGUUCUGACGGUACCCAAAGAAUAAGCACCGGCUAACUUCGUG